RNAcentral lists this long non-coding RNA (209 nucleotides) under Prunus persica (peach). RNAcentral's name for it is "long non-coding RNA (PPER_LNC002183)". The record is from RNAcentral. Lineage: Eukaryota; Viridiplantae; Streptophyta; Magnoliopsida; Rosales; Rosaceae.
AGGUUCCUAUCCAUUUCCUAAGGGAGGUAGGAUAGUCAUGCAGUUGCCCAUAAGCAGCGUCCUUCGGGAGACGCAGGGCGACAACCAAGGCAUCCUACAAGAUGUGUAGAACACGCCCGGAGUCCCUUAAGGGGGACCCUGGCACUUGCUAAUUUUCCUAAAGGGAACCAUCCUACGGGAUAUGCAGAGCAUGCCCGGAGUCCUUCAAG